AACGAACGCUGGCGGCAUGCCUAACACAUGCAAGUCGAACGAUGCCUUCGGGCAUAGUGGCGCACGGGUGCGUAACGCGUGGGAAUCUGCCUUUCGGUUCGGAAUAACUCAGGGAAACUUGAGCUAAUACCGGAUAACGUCGCAAGACCAAAGAUUUAUCACCGAAAGAUGAGCCCGCGUAGGAUUAGCUAGUUGGUGAGGUGAAGGCUCACCAAGGCGACGAUCCUUAGCUGGUCUGAGAGGAUGAUCAGCCACACUGGGACUGAGACACGGCCCAGACUCCUACGGGAGGCAGCAGUGGGGAAUAUUGGACAAUGGGCGAAAGCCUGAUCCAGCAAUGCCGCGUGAGUGAUGAAGGCCUUAGGGUUGUAAAGCUCUUUUACCCGGGAAGAUAAUGACGGUACCGGGAGAAUAAGCCCCGGCUAACUCCGUG
Molecule: ribosomal RNA, 433 nt
Filed under: uncultured bacterium
Lineage: Bacteria
Description: partial 16S ribosomal RNA
Rfam family: Bacterial small subunit ribosomal RNA
Source: RNAcentral